Bos grunniens (domestic yak) is the source of this 104-nucleotide small nuclear RNA. NCBI's taxonomy places the organism in Eukaryota, Metazoa, Chordata, Mammalia, Artiodactyla, Bovidae. The record is from Ensembl.
ACAUAUACUAAAAUGAUACAGAGAAGAUUAGAAUGAUACAGAGAAGAUUAGCAUGGCCCCUGCACAAGGAUGACAUGCAAAUUCGUGAAGUGUUCCAUAUUUUU